GAUGAACGCUGGCGGCGUGCUUAACACAUGCAAGUCGAACGUGAACCAGUAGCAAUAUUGGGGAAAGUGGCGGACGGGUGAGUAACACGUGGGUGACCUGCCUUGCAGCGGGGGAUAACGAGGGGAAACCUUCGCUAAUACCGCAUAGGCUUACACUGAUGGGAAUGGUGUGGGUAAAACUGAGGUGCUGCAAGAGGGGCCUGCGUCCGAUUAGCUAGUUGGUGAGGUAAAGGCUCACCAAGGCGAUGAUCGGUAGCUGGUCUGAGAGGACGAUCAGCCACACGGGAACUGAGAGACGGUCCCGACUCCUACGGGGGGCAGCAGUGAGGAAUAUUGGGCAAUGGGCUAACGGCCUGACCCAGCAACGCCGCGUGGAGGAUGAAGGUUUUUGGAUUGUAAAGCUCUGUCUGGAGGGACGAAGGAAGUGACGGUACCUCCGGAGGAAGCCACGGCUAACUACGUG
This 463-nucleotide ribosomal RNA is filed under the name uncultured bacterium. RNAcentral's name for it is "bacterial SSU rRNA". It matches the Rfam family "Bacterial small subunit ribosomal RNA", at positions 28 to 507 of the family's 1533-position model. The record is from RNAcentral.